Molecule: small RNA, 89 nt
Filed under: Marmota monax (woodchuck)
Lineage: Eukaryota; Metazoa; Chordata; Mammalia; Rodentia; Sciuridae
Source: RNAcentral
GCUGGAUGCAGUGGCGCACGUCUGUAAUCCCAGUGACUCAGGAGGCUGAAGCAGGAGGAUUGCAAGUUUGAGGCCAGCUCCAGCAAUUU